RNAcentral lists this ribosomal RNA (487 nucleotides) under uncultured bacterium. RNAcentral describes it as "partial 16S ribosomal RNA". It matches the Rfam family "Bacterial small subunit ribosomal RNA", at positions 28 to 507 of the family's 1533-position model. The record is from RNAcentral.
GAUGAACGCUAGCGAUAGGCCUAACACAUGCAAGUCGAGGGGCAGCACAAGGUAGCUUGCUAUCUGUGUGGCGACCGGCGCACGGGUGCGUAACGCGUAUGCAACUUUCGCUAUACAGGAGGAUAACCCGUCGAAAGACGGACUAAUACUGCGUAUGCUCACAACUUGGCAUCAAGUGGUGAGGAAAGAAAUUCGGUAUAGGAUAGGCAUGCGUGCCAUUAGCUUGUUGGUGAGGUAACGGCUCACCAAGUCAACGAUGGGUAGGGGAACUGAGAGGUUUAUCCCCCACACUGGUACUGAGAAACGGACCAGAGUCAUACGGGAGGCAGCAGUGAGGGAUAUUGGUGAAUGGGAGCGAGCAUGAACCAGCCAAGUCGCGUGCAGGAUGACUGUCUUAUGGAUUGUAACCUUCUUUUAUACGGGCAUAACCAGAGUCACGUGUGACUCCGUGAAUGUAACGUAUGAAUAAGCAUCGGCUAACUCCGUG